AUACGGAGGGUGCAAGCAUUAAUCGGAUUUACUGGGCGUAAAGGGCGCGUAGGCGGACAGAAAAGUCGGGUGUGAAAUUUCAGAACUCAAUUCUGAAGCUGCACUCGAAACUUUCUAUCUAGAGAAUAGGCGGAGAAAACGGAAUUCCACGUGUAGCGGUGAAAUGCGUAGAUAUGUGGAAGAACACCUGUGGCGAAAGCGGUUUUCUAGCUUAUUUCUGACGCUGAGGCGCGAGAGCAAGGGGAGCAAACAGGAUUAGAAACCCCAGUAGUCC
This 274-nucleotide ribosomal RNA is filed under the name uncultured bacterium. RNAcentral describes it as "partial 16S ribosomal RNA". It matches the Rfam family "Bacterial small subunit ribosomal RNA", at positions 523 to 796 of the family's 1533-position model. The record is from RNAcentral.